Molecule: non-coding RNA, 85 nt
Filed under: Clostridium sp.
Lineage: Bacteria; Bacillati; Bacillota; Clostridia; Eubacteriales; Clostridiaceae
Description: ZTP sequence
Rfam family: ZMP/ZTP riboswitch aptamer (pfl RNA motif)
About the family: Previously known as pfl RNA. ZMP is also known as AICAR.
Source: RNAcentral
AGAACUUCAUGUGACUGACGGAGCAAGCAGGAGAACCUGCGGGAAGCAUGAGGAAUAGGAAAAGCCGACCGUCUGGGCAGCCGCA